This 293-nucleotide ribosomal RNA is filed under the name uncultured Planctomycetota bacterium. RNAcentral describes it as "uncultured planctomycete partial 16S ribosomal RNA". The record is from RNAcentral. Lineage: Bacteria; Pseudomonadati; Planctomycetota.
GGACUACCGGGGUAUCUAAUCCCGUUCGCUCCCCUGGCUUUCGCGUCUCAGCGUCAGUAAGCGUCCAGGACCUCGCUUUCGCCACGGGCGUUCCUUCCGAUCUCAACGCAUUUCACCGCUCCACCGGAAGUUCCAGGUCCCCCUACGCCCCUCCAGAAGAGUCGUAUCCGCGCCACUUCCCCGGUUGAGCCGGGGGAUUUCAGCUGCGGACGUGCCCUUCCGCCUACACGCGCUUUAAGCCCAGUGAUUCCGAAUAACGUUCGCACGGUUCGUCUUACCGCGGCUGCUGGCAC